CUGCCGCGAGGCGGUGGGCGCGGGUGCCUGCGGGGUGUCCGUGGUGCUCGCGCUCGCCACGGCCGCCGUUCCGGCCGCGAUGCCGCCAGCC
This 91-nucleotide transfer RNA is filed under the name Amycolatopsis sp. CA-230715. Its description in RNAcentral is "tRNA-Arg". Lineage: Bacteria; Bacillati; Actinomycetota; Actinomycetes; Pseudonocardiales; Pseudonocardiaceae. The record is from RNAcentral.